This 497-nucleotide ribosomal RNA is filed under the name uncultured bacterium. RNAcentral describes it as "partial 16S ribosomal RNA". It matches the Rfam family "Bacterial small subunit ribosomal RNA", at positions 28 to 507 of the family's 1533-position model. The record is from RNAcentral.
GAUGAACGCUGGCGGCGUGCCUAAUACAUGCAAGUCGAGCGAACAGAUAAGGAGCUUGCUCCUUUGACGUUAGCGGCGGACGGGUGAGUAACACGUGGAUAACCUACCUAUAAGACUGGGAUAACUUCGGGAAACCGGAGCUAAUACCGGAUAACCUAUUGAACCGCAUGGUUCAAUAGUGAAAGGCGGCUUUGCUGUCACUUAUAGAUGGAUCCGCGCCGUAUUAGCUAGUUGGUAAGGUAACGGCUUACCAAGGCAACGAUACGUAGCCGACCUGAGAGGGUGAUCGGCCACACUGGAACUGAGACACGGUCCAGACUCCUACGGGAGGCAGCAGUAGGGAAUCUUCCGCAAUGGGCGAAAGCCUGACGGAGCAACGCCGCGUGAGUGAUGAAGGUCUUCGGAUCGUAAAACUCUGUUAUCAGGGAAGAACAAAUGUGUAAGUAACUGUGCACAUCUUGACGGUACCUGAUCAGAAAGCCACGGCUAACUACGUG